AAAUACUACUGACUGACCGAUAGUGAACCAGUACCGUGAGGGAAAGGCGAAAAGAACCCCUGUGAGGGGAGUGAAAUAGAACCUGAAACCGUGUACGUACAAGCAGUAGGAGCAGGCUUUGUCCUGUGACUGCGUACCUUUUGUAUAAUGGGUCAGCGACUUAUAUUCAGUGGCAAGGUUAACCAUCUAGGGGAGCCGUAGGGAAACCGAGUCUUAACUGGGCGUUCAGUCUCUGGAUAUAGACCCGAAACCAGGUGAUCUAGCCAUGGGCAGGUUGAAGGUUGAGUAACAUCAACUGGAGGACCGAACCGACUAAUGUUGAAAAAUUAGCGGAUGACUUGUGGCUAGGGGUGAAAGGCCAAUCAAACCUGGAGAUAGCUGGUUCUCCCCGAAAGCUAUUUAGGUAGCGCCUCGGACGAAUACUACUGGGGGUAGAGCACUGUUAAGGCUAGGGGGUCAUCCCGACUUACCAACCCUUUGCAAACUCCGAAUACCAGUAAGUACUAUC
Molecule: ribosomal RNA, 508 nt
Filed under: Vibrio parahaemolyticus
Lineage: Bacteria; Pseudomonadati; Pseudomonadota; Gammaproteobacteria; Vibrionales; Vibrionaceae
Description: partial 23S ribosomal RNA
Rfam family: Bacterial large subunit ribosomal RNA
Source: RNAcentral